GACAGAGGUCCCGAGCGUUAGGCGGAAUCACUGGGCUUAAAGCGUGUGUAGGCGGAUGCCUAAGUACCUUGUGAAAUCCCACGGCUCACCCGUGGAACUGCCGGGCAUACUGGCGAUCUUGAGGCAUUCAGGGGCGAGCGGAACAAGUGGUGGAGCGGUGAAAUGCGUAGAUAUCACUUGGAACGCCAAUGGUGAAAACAGCUCGCUGGGAAUGAUCUGACACUGAGACGCGAAAGCCAGGGGAGCGAACGGG
RNAcentral lists this ribosomal RNA (253 nucleotides) under uncultured bacterium. RNAcentral's name for it is "partial 16S ribosomal RNA". It matches the Rfam family "Bacterial small subunit ribosomal RNA", at positions 524 to 776 of the family's 1533-position model. The record is from RNAcentral.